AUGGCCCCUCCUCAGGUGGCAACUAUUGUGGCUACUAGUCAAGGAGGCUCAGCCUCUGGAGUGGGUCAAGGACCUGCUCAAGCUGACCUCUAACUCCCCUGCCACCCCUGGGGCCGCCUGAGCCCUGGUCUUCCCGCUCCUCCCAUCUCCCAUGGGAAUCUCCCCAUGCGCCUACUCCCCCGGCAGACCCGGCGGACUUUGAUUACCUGGGGCCCUCUGCUUCCUGGCAGAUGUCAGCCCCACCCCAGUAAUCGACUGAAAAUGUGGUGCCAUACCUGGACACGGAUUCAGCUGGAGAGCUGCUCCUGGGGUCAGAGCAGUUCUCCGCUGCACACCAGGAUUUAAAUGACAAGCUGACUCUGCAAGAAAGGCUCCCAGAGGUGGUUCCAAUGCUGAACGGGGAUCAGAACCAGACCCUAGUUCAGCCUCCUCGCCUCAAAAGUAAGUUUCAAACUGCAGAUCUUGAUCGGGCUGCAAGUCAUCAGGCAGAUGAAAUACUUGUUCCACUAGACAGUAAGGUUUCAAAACCAACCAAAUUUAUUGUUUCGCCCAAGAACCUAAAGAAAGAUCUAGCUCAGUGUUGGAGUCUUGCUAAGAUUGUUGGAAUUCCACACCAAUUAUCCAAACUUCAGCAUCAGAAAUAGACUUUGCAGGCUGAAUAUUGGAGUAUAGACACACUGUAUCCCGGCAGCUGCCUCCAGAACUCCGGGUUAACCUGGAUGAGCCCCCAGGGCUCCCUGAGCAAGUUGGACUUUCUCAAUUCCAUCUAGAGUCUGAAACUCAAAAUCCAGAGACCCUUGAAGACAUCCAGUCCUCUUCACUCCAGCAAGAAGCCCCAGGGCAGCUUCCACAGCUCCCUGAGGAGGAAGAACCUUCUUCAACCCAGCAGGGGGCCCCAGCUGGGCCUCCAGAGUACUCAAAGAGUCAAGCUCAAACUCUACCGAAUCAUGAGGUGACAGUUCAACCUCCAGGUGAGGAUCAAGCUCAUUAUAAUUUGCCCAACAUUACAGUUAAACCUGCAGAUGUGAGGUUACCAUAACUUCAGAACCUACCAAUGAGACAGAAUCUUCCCAAGCCCAGCUGGAGGCCCCAAUUCAGCUUCCAGAGGAGGUGGAACAUUCUGCGACCCAACAGGAGGCCCCAACUGAGCCUCCAGGUCCUCCUAUGGAGCGUGAACUUUCCAUCAGUGAGCAAGAGCAGCCAGCUCAGCCUUCUGAGUCUUCUGGGGAGGUGGAAUCUUCUCAGACCCAGCAGGAGACCUCAGCUUAGCCUCCAGAAGAGAUGGAACCUUCUGCAAACCAAGAGGAAGCCCCAACUGAGCCUCCAGGUCCUCCUAUAGAGCCUGAACUUUCCCCCAGUGAGCAGGACCAGCCAGCUCAGCCUUCUGAGUCUUCUGGGGGGUUGAAUCUUCUCAGACCCAGCAGGAGACCCCAGCUCAGCCUCCAGAACAUCAUGAAGUCACAGUUUCAACUCCAGGUCACCAUCAAACACAGCAUUCAGAUUUUCCCAAUGUCUCUGUUAAGCCUCCAGACAUGCAGCUCACCAUAGGAACAGAGCCUAGUGCAGAGGUGGGAACUUCUGCAGUCCACCAGGAGGCUACAGCUCAGCUCUCAGGGCCAGGUAAUGAUGUAGAACCUCCUGCUAUCCCGCAUGGGGGCCCACCUCUGCCUCCAGAGUCAUUGGAAGAGGCUUUACCUUUAGCAAUUCAACAAAAGACUUCAGUUCAAUUUCCGGAACCUAUUAAUAAUGCAAAUCCCUCUCCAACCCAGCAGGAGGCUGCAGCUGAGCAUCCACAGACCGCUGAGGAGGGGUCCAGCUCAGACUCCAGAGCUCCCUAAUGUAGUUGUAGCCCAACCUCCAGAGCAUUCAAACCUGACUCAAGCCACAGUUCAACCUUUGGACCUGGGGCUUACCAUCACUCCAGAAUCCACAACAGAGGUUGAACUUUCUCCUACCAUGCAGGAGACCCCAACUCAGCCUCCUAAAAAAGUUGUACCCCAACUUCCAGUAUAUCAAGAGGUAACAAUUCCAACACCAGGUCAGGAUCAAGCUCAGCAUCCAAUGUCACCCAGCGUUACAGUUCAACCUUUGGACCUGGGACUUACCAUCACUCCAGAACCCACUACGGAGGUUGGACAUUCUACACCCCUGAAGAAGACUCUAGUUCCUCCCAAGCACCCUAAGGUGACACUUCCAUGUCCAGACCAGGUUCAGACUCAGCAUUCAAACCUGACUCAAGCCACAGUUCAACCUUUGGAUCUGGGGCUUACCAUCACUCCAGAAUCCACGACAGAGUUUGAACCUUCUACAGCCCUGACGACUACAGCUCCUCCUCCAGAACACCCUGAGGCGACACUUCCACCUUCAGACAAGGGUCAGGCUCAGCAUUCACACCUGACUUAAGUCACAGUUCCACCUCUGGACCUGGAGCUUACCAUAACUACAGAACCUACUGCAGAGGUUAAACUGCCUCCAACCAUGGAGAAGACCUCAACUCAGCCUCCAGACCUGGGGCUUGCCAUCACUCCAGAGCCCACUACAGAGAUUGGACAUUCUGUAGCCCUGGAGAAGACUACAGUUCCUCGUCCAGACCAGGUUCAGACUCUGCAUCGAAAACUGACUGAAGUCACAGGUCCACCUACUGAACUAGAACCUACUCAGGAUUCAUUGGUUCAGUCUGAAUGUUAUGCCCAAAAUAAGGCUGUAACUGCACCAGAGGAACAGAAGGCCUCCACAAGCACCAACAUAUGUGAGCUCUGUACCUGUGGAAUGAGACGCUGUCGUGUAUUGAUCUCAGCCUGAAACAGAGGCUCCGCCAAAUGCCUGUGCCAGAGCCCAACACCUACAAUGGCACCCUCAGCAUCUUAAAUUUCCAAGGAAACUAUAUUUCUUACAUUGAUGGAAAUGUAUGGAAAGCAUACAGUUGGACUGAGAAACUAAUUCUCAACGAAAAUUAUUUGACUGAAUUGCAUAAGGAUUCAUUGAAGGCCUGCUAUCCCUCCAGUAUUUAGAUUUAUCCUGCAAUAAAAUACAGUCUAUCGAAAGACAUACAUUUGAACCACUACUAUUUUUGCAGUUUAUAAAUCUUGGUUGCAAUUUACUUACAGAACUGAGCUUUGGAACAUUUCAGGCCUGGCACGGAAUGCAGUUUUUACACAAGUUAAUUCUCAAUCGCAAUCCUCUGACAACUGUUGAAGAUCCAUAUCUCUUUAAACUGCCAGCAUUAAAAUAUCUAGACAUGGAAACAAUGCAUGUCCCAUUUACAACAAUUAAGAACAUUCUCAUGAUGACUGUUGAACUGGAGAAACUGAUCUUACCUAGCCAUGUGGUCUGCUGCCUCUGCCAAUUUAAAAAUAGCAUUGAGGCUGUCUGCAAGACAGUCAAGCUGCACUGCAACAGUGCAUGUCUGACAAACACCAUACAUUGUCCUGAAGAAGCAUCUGUAGGGAAUCCAGAAGGAGCACUCAUGAAGGUGUGACAAGCCCCGAAGAAGCACACGAGCACUGAGCUGACUGUUGAGCCGGAGGGGGCCUCAGACAGCAAUGGCAUCAACUUGUCAGUCUUUGGGAGUGGACAGCUAGACACCAAUGACGAGAGGGAUGUUAUCAGUGCACUAAGUUACAUCUUGCCAUAUUUCUGAGCAGUAAGUCUAGAUGUGAAAUCAAUGUUGUUACCGUUCAUUAAACUGCUUUCUUCAAAUGUGCAAGAUGGAGAUAGGCCCCUGGGUAUUUUGAAAAACAAUACAAAGAGCCCCUCUCUUCAACCUGUAUCCAACAACUCAACUUAAGAAAAUAAAUUGAGAAAGCUGUAUUUGCUGGAAAAUAUGUUAGAUGCAGAAAUACAAGAAAAAAUUGAUGAAAUUAAAAGGGAAGAAAAAACUGCCAUGCUUAUGCAGUCCAGCUUUCUAGGACAAUUUUAAAUGCCAAAUAUUUGAAAAGAAAUUAGAAACUAUCCAGCUACAGGAAAACAGCCUGGCAAAGAUUCAAAGCAUAGGCAAAAACCUGCAGAGAGUGAACAGACUCCUUAUGGGCCCAAAGAGCAUUCAGAAAAGGCACUUCGAAGAGGUGGGAAAGCAGAGCAUCAAGAGGGAAGAUGGACCCAGCCAUUUGCAGAGAACAAUGCCAAAGAAAAAAGGCUCGGGAGUCCAACCCAAGGGAGCUGACAGAGCCUCACAUAGAGCAGGGGUCUGAGAAGUUAGUGGGAAACACCGUCUACACCAAGCCUUCAUUCACCCAAGAGCAGUCUCCUUUAUGUUGAAACUGUUCUCCAUGGGCGGGCCUUCUGCCUCCACCUCUGCAAAAGCCCUACCUCAGGUCAGAGACAGAUUGAAAGACUUAAUCUACACCAUUUUCAUUUUAGAACAUGCAAAGGCUAGAGUUAAAAAUAUGAAGACUGCUAAACCAAUCGUACAUUCCAGAAAAAAAUACCACUUUCAUAAAACUCACUCCCGCAUGGCUCACAGAACACCCAAGGCCAAAAAAGAGUCCAAACUUCAGAAAGAAAAGUUAUCUCGAUAGACUGGUGCUCGCAAAGAGGCCUCCGUUCUCUGCAGCGAAGAGCCUAUGCAUUUCCCUUCACAGGGGGCUUUUCAUCUUUAGGAGACCCGAGCCCUCAGGAAAAUCCUCUUCCGGAAGUAUUUCCUCCUUCAGAACGUUUUAUAGAAGACACUAAUGUAAAAAACACAACUGCCAGAAAUGCCUUUGAAGAAAACAUUUUUAUGGAAAACACUACUAUGCCAGAAGGCACCAUCUCUGAAAACACAAACUAUAAUCAUCCUCCUGAGGCAGAUUCUGCUGGGACUGCAUUCAACUUAGGGCCAACUAUUACACAAACUGAGACAAAAUGGGAAUACAACAACGUGGGCACCGACCUGUCCCCCGAGCCCCAAAGCUUCAAUUACUCAUUGCUCUUAUCUCCAGGUGAUCAGUUUGAAAUUCAGCUAACCCAGCAGCUGCGGUCCCUCAUCCCCAACAACAAUGUGCGCAGGCUCAUUUCUCAUGUUAUCCGGACCUUGAAGAUGGACUGCUCUGAGACCCACGUGCAAUUGACCUGUGCCAAGCUCAUCUCCAGGACAGGCCUCCUGAUGAAGCUUCUCAGUGAGCAGCAAGAAGUAAAGGUGUCCAAGGCAGAAUGGAUACGGACCAGUGGAAAACUGAGAACUAUAUCAACGAGAGCACGGAAGCCCAGAAUGAACAGAAAGAGCAAAAGUCGAGUGAGCUCACAAUAGAAGUUCCAGGAUAUGGCUAUAACAACAAACUCAUCUUGGCAAUAUUUGUGACUGAAAUACUAACGACUUUCAUUCUAGUUUUCUGCCUUAUUGAGAUUUAUUCUCACCGAAGGUCAUCAAAAGAAGAUGAAGGAUUCUCAAGGGGCAUUUUCAGAUUUCUGCCAUAGAGGAGAUGCUCUUCGCGAAGUGAGACUCAGGUUGGAUCUUUCUCACUCAGACAGCCGCUCUGGCUUAAAGAUAUGUACAAACCUCUCAAUGCCACAAGAGUAAAUACCAGGCAUGGAAGCUGCACAAGAAGUCAUCUAAUGAGGAUGAGAUCCUCAACAGGAACCCUGGGGACAGCGAAGCCCCAACAUAGAAGGGGGAGGAGAGUGAAGCCCUGCCAUAGGAGGAGAACACAGAGUGACCCCAGCCCGCCUCAGGCCUCCUGCAAAAAUACUUAGCAUAAACAACAAGGGCCAUCAGAAAGAAAAGCGGGACUGAAGCCAGCGGCCUAUGUGUCCACAGAGGCAGCGGGCAGAGGAAGCACAGAGCCAUCAUUCCCUCCCUUGAUUCUCAGUCUAGUCACCCAGACCUGAAAACAUAUCCUCAGGGGGUGGAGAUUUUACAAUACCAUUGUUCUUG
This is a non-coding RNA of Chlorocebus sabaeus (green monkey), 5851 nucleotides long. Lineage: Eukaryota; Metazoa; Chordata; Mammalia; Primates; Cercopithecidae. The record is from RefSeq and is a predicted model, not a curated record.